This 300-nucleotide ribosomal RNA is filed under the name uncultured Desulfurococcus sp. RNAcentral's name for it is "bacterial SSU rRNA". It matches the Rfam family "Bacterial small subunit ribosomal RNA", at positions 496 to 795 of the family's 1533-position model. Lineage: Archaea; Thermoproteati; Thermoproteota; Thermoprotei; Desulfurococcales; Desulfurococcaceae. The record is from RNAcentral.
GGGAACUGGGGGCCGGGGGCGGGGGUAAUACGAAGGGUGCAAGGGUUUCUUGGAAGUACUGGGCGGAAGGGGGGCGUAGGGGGUUCGUUAAGUCUGAUGUGAAAGCCCUGGGCUCAACCUGGGAAUGGCAUUGGAUACUGGCGGGCUAGAGUGCGGUAGAGGGCAGUGGAAUUCCCGGUGUAGCAGUGAAAUGCGUAGAGAUCGGGAGGAACAUCUGUGGCGAAGGCGACUGCCUGGACCAGCACUGACACUGAGGCACGAAAGCGUGGGGAGCAAACAGGAUUAGAUACCCGGGUAGUC